AUCCCCUGGUUCUCAGCAUUUAAGACCAGCAUUAUUAUAUAUUCCUGGCCUGCACGUGCACAAAGAGAGGUGGCAUGGGGGUGGGAAAGUCCACCCGCCCCCCAAGGCAGCCCAUCACCAUCAAUCAGGGCUUUUAUUCAUUCGCAGACAUCCAAGUCUCCCCAAGUAGCAUUGUCUGCGUGUCUCCCUCCUCCUCCUCUGACUUUCAAGUUCUUUUAAAGGGUCCAUUAAGCCACCGGAUCGAUCCUUACACUACUCAGUUAACAGCAGAGAGAAAGCUCCCCACAGUGGGGAUGCACUUUUUACACUCAAGGCGAUGCGGGGAAGGGAAGGGUGGGGAACCAAAAAAACAAAAAAGCCUUUACAUCUCCCCAUACCACCCAGGAAAAAAAGUUGAGACAUCACAGCACCCGCCGCCAGUGGGAAAUGAAGAUCGUUGCAGGGGAAACAAAGUCUGCUCGCAUCGGGGAAGAGGAGCGAGGGAGCCAUGCCAGUUUUCGCGAAACAGGAGCAGAAAAGCGCAGGAGAAGUUCUUCGCAGAGGAAAGGUGAUCGCGCCCGCAGCGAAAACCCAGCAGCUACCUCUCUGGAAUUUGUGACAUACCAAAGUUAUCAAUUAUUUAUGAACACACCUAUAGAUCCUAAAAGUGGAGCAGUUGUGUGAAUGCAGCCACACAUGAUAGGGUGACUUUUUAAAAACCGCAUAAAUAUGGUCAUCAACAAUCUCAUCACAAGGGAUUCAUAUAAAAGACUUCUACAAAAGGAACACAGGAAGCUUGCCUUAUAGAGUCAGAGCACUGGUCCAUCUAGUUCAAGCCUCAGUUGGAGAUGCCUGGAAUCAAAUCCAAGACCUUCUGCUACAAUUCUUUGAGCUAUGGUCCUUCUCAUAAACUUCUAUUCAGCUUACUUUCCACCCUGAUGUCAUAGUAAUGUGGAUUUUCACACUCCUGCCCCACAUUAUUGGUGAAGAGGGCAGAGGAACGGGCAGAAGAACAAGGGCUUAGGCUUGGAUGGUUUUCUUGGCAACCUCUCUGCACUGGUCUGAGCCCAAACUACGCUGAUGAAGAUAAGGGUACCUAUGAAUAAUUCAUCAUGGAAUACUCAUAUUUUAAUCUAGCAGCACAUUCCUCUCUGAAAUCUUCAAUGAAACACCACCCUGAUAAGGAAAAAAUUGCUUUCAUCUCAAGGGAGCAAAAAAUCUAUAUUUAAUAUGGUGAAAUGAAACAUCCAAUUGAUUAUUCAUAGGUUCCACAGUAACUAGUUACAUACAAGUGAGGAUUUAAUGUUCUUAUUUUACAUACAGAUUAUGUACGAAAGUGCGAUAAUUCUGACCUUGUGUCAAACUUUUUGAAUCUAUAAGGCUCUUCAGCACAUAUACUCCCAUUAAGAAAACCUGUAUACCAAAUUGUAAUGUAUUUUCUUACAUCAAGGCUACCUGUGUUAUGUAGCUCCUGUUUUUUAAAAAAUAGUUGCAGUUACAGCUUCCUUCUCUUUAUAUUCUUGUGUUCAUUGAAACCGCAUGAGUUGUGAGGUCAUCUGGCUCUCCAGAGCAUGCAUUCUGUAAAUAUAAUGAUGAGGAACAGCCCCUUUGCCUGGCAUCUGGGAAGCUGUCAUUCCCAAUGCUUUUGUCAUUCCUAAUACUUUUGUCUACUUGAGCCCUGCUCAGGUAUUUCUCUCCAGUUAUGGAGACAGUUGGCUUGUGCCCCUGCUGUCACAUCACACACAGGACCCUCUCCAAUGGGGAAAGUACUGGAGGGGAGGGGGCUGCCCAAAGUCCAUAGGCUGUCUUGUGAAUAGAACACUGAGUUCCAGCGCAUGGAAACACCCUCUGCACAUUCUGGGGGAAAAUAAAAAUCCCCUUUUAGACUUUCCUUCAGCACACUGACAACCAGGGCCGUCUUUACCCGGGGGUGCAAGGGGAGCAGGGCACCCAGGCA
Molecule: long non-coding RNA, 1936 nt
Organism: Podarcis raffonei (Aeolian wall lizard)
Lineage: Eukaryota; Metazoa; Chordata; Lepidosauria; Squamata; Lacertidae
Exons: 4
Source: RefSeq, a predicted model, not a curated record